RNAcentral lists this ribosomal RNA (568 nucleotides) under uncultured bacterium. RNAcentral's name for it is "bacterial SSU rRNA". It matches the Rfam family "Bacterial small subunit ribosomal RNA", at positions 34 to 614 of the family's 1533-position model. The record is from RNAcentral.
CGUGGCGGCGUGGAUAGGCAUGCAAGUCGAGCGAGAAAGUCCUUCGGGAACUGGACAGCGGCGAAAGGGAGAGUAACGCGUAGAUAUCUACCUCGAGGACCGGGAUAGCGGCGGGAAACUGCCGGUAAUACCGGAUAACAUCUCAGGAUCAAAGGUGUGAUGCCGCCUCGAGAUGAGUCUGCGUCCUAUUAAUGCUUGUUGGUGAGGUAAUGGCUCACCAAGGCGAAGAUGGGUACCGGGUGUGAGAGCAUGGCCCGGCUCACUGGGACUGAGACACUGCCCAGACACCUACGGGUGGCUGCAGUCGAGAAUCUUCGGCAAUGGGCGAAAGCCUGACCGAGCGACGCCGCGUGCGGGAUGAAGGCCCUCGGGUUGUAAACCGCUGUCAGUAGGGAGCAAAUCUCUUGGGGUUAUCCCCUUGAGUUGAGCGAUCUUCAGAGGAAGUACGGGCUAAGUUCGAGCCAGCAGCCGCGGUAAGACGAACCGUACGAACGUUAUUCGGAAUCACUGGGCUUAAAGAGUCCGAAGGCGGCCGUGUANGUGGGAUGUGAAAGCCCUCGUCUCAACC